AUCGUAUGCCCUCCUUGGGCGUUUCCUCCCUAGACUUGGGCCGCCUUAGGGCGGCCUCUUUUUCUCUGGGGG
RNAcentral lists this small RNA (72 nucleotides) under Rhizobiales bacterium GAS191. RNAcentral describes it as "suhB". It matches the Rfam family "Makes More Granules Regulator RNA (mmgR)". Rfam says of the family: SuhB later renamed mmgR (makes more granules regulator) was a putative non-coding RNA found multiple times in the Agrobacterium tumefaciens genome and related alpha-proteobacteria. Other non-coding RNAs uncovered in the same analysis include: speF, ybhL, metA, and serC. Lineage: Bacteria; Pseudomonadati; Pseudomonadota; Alphaproteobacteria; Hyphomicrobiales. The record is from RNAcentral.